GACGGGGGGUCCUGGCGUUGUUCGGAAUCAUUGGGCGUAAAGCGUGUGCAGGUGGUUUUACAAGUUAGAUGUGAAAUCCUCGGGCUUAACCUGAGAAGGGCAUUUAAAACUGUAGAACUUGAGUAAGGAAGAGGAUCGUGGAAUUCCAGGUGUAGUGGUGAAAUACGUAGAUAUCUGGAGGAACACCGGCGGCGAAGGCGGCGAUCUGGUCCUAUACUGACACUCAUACACGAAAGCGUGGGUAGCAAACAGG
This 253-nucleotide ribosomal RNA is filed under the name uncultured bacterium. RNAcentral describes it as "partial 16S ribosomal RNA". It matches the Rfam family "Bacterial small subunit ribosomal RNA", at positions 524 to 776 of the family's 1533-position model. The record is from RNAcentral.